This 213-nucleotide ribosomal RNA is filed under the name Triticum aestivum (bread wheat). RNAcentral describes it as "partial small subunit ribosomal RNA". The record is from RNAcentral. Lineage: Eukaryota; Viridiplantae; Streptophyta; Magnoliopsida; Poales; Poaceae.
AUGAUCUUCAAGCUUGAUUUCAGGAAAGCUUUUGACUCCAUAUGCUGGUCCUCCCUCAUACAAAUCUUACAAGUACGUGGCUUUCCCUCGGACUUCUGCUCUUGGAUACAAAAUAUCCUUCUCACCGGGAAAACAGCUGUUCUUUUAAAUGGCGUUCCAGGUUCCUGGAUUCAAUGCAAAUGUGGCCUACGCCAAGGUGACCCCUUCUCGCCC